GAUGAACGCUAGCGAUAGGCCUAACACAUGCAAGUCGAGGGGCAUCACAUGAAGUAGCAAUACGGAUGGUGGCGACCGGCGCACGGGUGAGUAACACGUAUGCAACCUGCCUUCAACAAGGGGAUAACCCGUUGAAAGACGGACUAAUACCCUAUAACACAGGGGUCCCGCAUGGGAAUAUUUGUUAAAGGACAACCGGUUGAAGAUGGGCAUGCGUUCCAUUAGCUAGUUGGCGGGUAAGGGCCCACCAAGGCAACGAUGGAUAGGGGAACUGAGAGGUUUAUCCCCCACACUGGUACUGAGACACGGACCAGACUCCUACGGGAGGCAGCAGUGAGGAAUAUUGGUCAAUGGACGCAAGUCUGAACCAGCCACGUCGCGUGAAGGAAGACGGCCCUACGGGUUGUAAACUUCUUUUAUACGGGAAUAAAGUGCCCCACGCGUGGGGUUUUGCAUGUACCGUAUGAAUAAGGAUCGGCUAACUCCGUG
This 489-nucleotide ribosomal RNA is filed under the name uncultured bacterium. Its description in RNAcentral is "bacterial SSU rRNA". It matches the Rfam family "Bacterial small subunit ribosomal RNA", at positions 28 to 507 of the family's 1533-position model. The record is from RNAcentral.